UGGGGAAUAUUGCACAAUGGGCGCAAGCCUGAUGCAGCCAUGCCGCGUGUAUGAAGAAGGCCUUCGGGUUGUAAAGUACUUUCAGCGGGGAGGAAGGGAGUAAAGUUAAUACCUUUGCUCAUUGACGUUACCCGCAGAAGAAGCACCGGCUAACUCCGUGCCAGCAGCCGCGGUAAUACGGAGGGUGCAAGCGUUAAGCGGAAUUACUGGGCGUAAAGCGCACGCAGGCGGUUUGUUAAGUCAGAUGUGAAAUCCCCGGGCUAAACCUGGGAACUGCAUCUGAUACAGGCAAGCUUGAGUCUCGUAGAGGGGGGUAGAAUUCCAGGUGUAGCGGUGAAAUGCGUAGAGAUCUGGAGGAAUACCGGUGGCGAAGGCGGCCCCCUGGACGAAGACUGACGCUCAGGUGCGAAAGCGUGGGGAGCAAACAGG
This 429-nucleotide ribosomal RNA is filed under the name Chloroflexota bacterium. RNAcentral describes it as "Chloroflexi bacterium partial 16S ribosomal RNA". It matches the Rfam family "Bacterial small subunit ribosomal RNA", at positions 355 to 776 of the family's 1533-position model. Lineage: Bacteria; Bacillati; Chloroflexota. The record is from RNAcentral.